UUUUGGUUUGUCUUUUUAUAAAUGAACUACAUUACAGAAAAUGGAUCAUUGAGAAAAUACACGGCAUUCACUGAGACUAAUAUAUGUUUACACAUCUCUCAGGUCGUACGCUCUCAUAUGAUUGGUAAUCAUCACGUUAUUACAUGUGCUGCAAUAUCUUUAUACAUUAAUGUUGUCCAUUUGUACGUGCAUUACAAACAAAUCAUAUAGAUAGCUGAGUUGGAAGUUUAUGAAAUACUAUUGGAAAGCUCCGCAGUUCGUAUCCAAGCACUGUGUUGUAAAAUCUGUAUAUGUAAAACACCUACCUCAUAAAAAGCUAAGUUUACCUCACAACAUGUAGGCAACAUGUUGUAGAUCCAGGUCAUCGCUUUAAGAUUGAAAAACAUUAGAUGUAACCACUAUUUCGGUAGUGUUGUAGACCUUUUCAAACCCUUCAAUGAUUUCACAGGCAGCAACGCUUAGCUAUUACAAAACACAUAUUCAAGAAGAAUAUAUAACGCAGUGUAGGCGUUUGUUUGUUUAUUCGUGUACAACAGUUCAUCUUUAGGGAAUAUUAUUUGAAUUUUUAUGACCAAGCUUAAAUAGUUUCAGUUUGUUAUUUAUUUAUAACUUAUUAUAUAUCAUUUUUUUUCUGUUCGUUGUGUUCUAUUUUGUUCAUCAGCUUUCUCGAAGUGGAUAAAAUAUACAUUACUUAAAAACAUAUGGAUUCAUUAUAAUAUCUUGUUCUUUUUAAAUAUGAAAUUUUAUCAAACUUUGGCAUUAUUAUUUCGAAUGCCAUCUAGUGGCAGACACAUCAAAUAGCUGAUAGAAUUCUUUACAACACCUAUUUUUAUUAUUCUACCGUCUCUUCAUUCAGCAACACGUUCCGUUACAGUUCUGUAGCAUUGUACCAAUGUGUUAAAUCAAGCAAUAUUCAUCAAAACUUUUACUAUAUGUUUCGUGAAUCACAAGAUUCUUCAAGAUCGGUGCUCAACACUUCUUCACUUCUUGUAUUCAUCGGUGAUAGAAAAGUCUACUCUAAUGCAGCAUGUUUCACCAUUGAAUGAGGCUCUUCUGAGUAAACAAUUGAUCAUAGUAUAUAGCGUUGUACCCCACAACAAAUCUGUACAUCGUCCACGGUUUUGUUCUCACGAGAAGAUUUUCCACAGACCUGCUCUAUUUAAAAAUUCUAUCGGACAUUUUUAUCUAUACUAAAACCUAGAAGUACCAAGGAAAUUAUAAUGACCAGCAGCCGAAAUCCAUCAACACUUCAUUCAUCAGUCUGUGAAAUUUCAUUCAUCAGAACGUAAGUUCUCCGAAUUCUAAGAUGAAGAGUGGCUCAAUCGUCGGUUGAGGACAUUUUAUUUCAAUUAACCAUCAGUUUCUUUCUUUUCAUUUUUGUAUUUUGGAAAAGAUGACGGGGCAAGCAUGUAUCAGCUAAAUGAUGAUGACCUAAUUACAGUCUAAGGUGUAGGAGAGACGCAAAGAAUAUGUAGCCUGAGAUCAAAUGGUCAGUGGUUGACGAAGAGAGUGAAGGAAACUUUACAAACCCCAGGAGUGUACGAGGGUGAGCUGAAUAGUUAAUAUGUUAACUAGGAAAGAGUGAUGCUAGAGAUGUGAAAUCUGGCAUACAUUAAUUUCAGUGCUUAUUAUUAUUAGAUGCAUUCCGGGUAGACUCGUAUCUGGCUGCUCAAAGAAGACUUCAAAAGUAAAUAAUAGUCACUUACCUGGAAAAAAAUGGACAAAAUAUUGCAUCAUGGUGUUAUCAAGUACCUGCAGAACAAGAGUUUAGCCCUCAAGGUCAUUCAUGCUAACAUAAUUGCUACAUUAGGGGAUUACGCUCCAACAGCACAAAAGUAGGUGCUGAAUUUAGGAGAAUCUUGAAAAUGACCCAACAUCUGGACGUCCUGCAACUACCAUCACCGACGAAAAUAUUGUGUUCAUCACAUGGUAAUGGAUGACAUGCGAUUGAAUAUAAAUCAAAUAGCGAAUGCUAUUAGUAUAUCCCGUGAGAGAGUUGAGAAUAUUCUGCACAAUGAACUUGACAUGACGAAAGUUUCUGUUUAACGGGUGUCACAUCUUCUGACACCCGAGGAAGAACACACCGGGCUGAUCACAUUACGGGAAAACCUGACAUUAUUUAAAGCAGAUCCAGCUAGUUUCCUUGAACUUUUCCUAACCCAGGAUCAGUGUUGGGUUCAUCACUUUGAGUCAGAGACAAAGAAACAAUCCAUUCAGUGGAAACACCCCGCCUCACUUGUUCCAAAGAAGGCCAAGGUCGUUACAUCUAAAGGGAAGGUGAUGGCCUCAGAAUUUUGGCCGCAGCGUUUUGUUUAUUGACUAUCUUCAAAACGGCCACACCGUCAACAGAGAGAACUAUGCCAACUUGAUGAAGCAGUUACGAAAGGCUACCAAAGCCAAACACCCAAGAAUACUAACGAAAAGGGUUUUGUUUUAUCAAGAUAGUGCUCCAGUGGACAUGUCUUUGGUUUCAAAGGCUGCUGUGUGUGACUGUGGCUUUGAACUGGUGCAUCACCCUCCUUAUUCUCCUGAUUCAAACCCAUCUGACUAUCAUCUGUUCCCCAAUAUGAACAAACGUUUGGCUGGGAACUAGUAUUGCGGUGAUGAUGACUUCAUAUCUGCUGUCGAUGACUUUUGAACCAACAGCAUGAGAGCUUCUUCACCAAUGAGAUCCAGGCAUGCAACACCGAUAGAAGUUUGAGGACCACAUAAUUUGUUCACAUUCCAUGAGAGUAUUUUAGUCAGCCUAUGAACUUUUCAGCCGACCUUCGUAAAAUAGUCCAUUAUUUUGAACAUUUCUUCCAGUCACUUGUCUUAUUUGAAUGAAAAUAUGCAUUCAUGUUAAAACUGACUAAAAAUGAACUAUUCUGUUAUUUAACUGAUUUACUACAAGAUUAUUAAAGCGAUGAGAAAUAAAAAUCAUAUUCACUCCCUUCGAGUAAAAGAGAUUGAUAAAAUGAGAACUUGUUAUUGGUGAACAAUGAACAACUGUCAGGGGUAAUAAGAAAUAAAAGGCGCUCUGAAAUGCUGGGUCACUUACAAGAUGAGGAACUUAAGUAUCACCGAAAUUAAAUUAGGCCGGAAAAAAAAAGUUCUGUCGCAUUUUAAUACUA
This is a long non-coding RNA of Octopus bimaculoides (California two-spot octopus), 3113 nucleotides long. The record is from RefSeq and is a predicted model, not a curated record. NCBI's taxonomy places the organism in Eukaryota, Metazoa, Mollusca, Cephalopoda, Octopoda, Octopodidae.